UGGUUCUGGCAUCGAUGAAGAACGCAGCGAAAUGCGAUACGUAGUGUGAAUUGCAGAAUUCAGUGAAUCAUCGAAUCUUUGAACGCACAUUGCGCCCUUUGGUAUUCCAAAGGGCAUGCCUGUUCGAGCGUCAUUUGUACCCUCAAGCUUUGCUUGGUGUUGGGCGUUUUUUGUCUUUGGUCGCCAAAGACUCGCCUUAAAACGAUUGGCAGCCGGCCUACUGGUUCCGCAGCGCAGCACAUUUUUGCGCUUGCAAUCAGCCGAGGACGGCACUCCAUCAAGACUCCUUCUCACGUUUGACCUCGGAUCAGGUAGGGAUACCCGCUGA
RNAcentral lists this unclassified non-coding RNA (328 nucleotides) under uncultured fungus. RNAcentral's name for it is "partial contains 5.8S ribosomal RNA and internal transcribed spacer 2". The stretch from base 1 to 133 matches the Rfam family "5.8S ribosomal RNA", at positions 22 to 154 of the family's 154-position model. The record is from RNAcentral. Lineage: Eukaryota; Fungi.